RNAcentral lists this ribosomal RNA (292 nucleotides) under uncultured bacterium. RNAcentral describes it as "partial 16S ribosomal RNA". It matches the Rfam family "Bacterial small subunit ribosomal RNA", at positions 505 to 796 of the family's 1533-position model. The record is from RNAcentral.
GUGUCAGCAGCCGCGGUAAUACGAAGGGGGCUAGCGUUGUUCGGAAUUACUGGGCGUAAAGCGCACGUAGGCGGAUUGUUAAGUCAGAGGUGAAAUCCCGGAGCUCAACUUCGGAACUGCCUUUGAUACUGGCAAUCUAGAGUCCGGAAGAGGUUAGUGGAAUUCCCAGUGUAGAGGUGAAAUUCGUAGAUAUUGGGAAGAACACCAGUGGCGAAGGCGGCUAACUGGUCCGGUACUGACGCUGAGGUGCGAAAGCGUGGGGAGCAAACAGGAUUAGAUACCCCCGUAGUCC